GUAAACAUAGUUUAUUCAAAACACU
RNAcentral lists this transfer RNA (25 nucleotides) under Podarcis hispanicus (Iberian wall lizard). Its description in RNAcentral is "partial tRNA-His". The record is from RNAcentral. Lineage: Eukaryota; Metazoa; Chordata; Lepidosauria; Squamata; Lacertidae.